ACCCCGCAGCGUACCUAUAAAGCUGGCGAGCGCCCCCUCGCCCUCUCUUUUCCUGGGGAACCUCCGCGCCGGCGGGUAUGAUGGAGAGGAGGUUUUCAGUGGUGUCCAAUACAUUGUACAGAAGCAUUAAGCCCUUCAUGGAAGCGCCAUCAGAAGUAGAAGAAUACUUGGUACACACAAGUGGAUUUUCCUGAAAGCUGUGUAUAAUGGCCUGAACAGUUUCUAACAAUGGGAAUGUCAGGUGUCCUGGUGAAAGAUUUCCUGGAAGCUGUAGUACAACAGAUAGAGGCAAUAUUACAAGUAGGAAGUGGAGUGACUUACAUGGUUGAUGUAAAGAAAGGUUGGAAGUAACAAGCCUUGCUAGUGUAACUAACCAGUGCAUUUUAUGUCUCUGCAGAGAUG
Long non-coding RNA from Harpia harpyja (harpy eagle), 402 nucleotides. RefSeq lists it as uncharacterized. The transcript has 5 exons. The record is from RefSeq and is a predicted model, not a curated record. NCBI's taxonomy places the organism in Eukaryota, Metazoa, Chordata, Aves, Accipitriformes, Accipitridae.